This is a long non-coding RNA of Rhododendron vialii, 1765 nucleotides long. RefSeq lists it as uncharacterized. The record is from RefSeq and is a predicted model, not a curated record. The transcript is spliced from 3 exons. Lineage: Eukaryota; Viridiplantae; Streptophyta; Magnoliopsida; Ericales; Ericaceae.
UGUACAUGUUCAAGUUUAAUUAUGUGCAGUUAAGAAGCAUGUAAAACACAAGAAAAUCGUACGUAAUAAUCACACUUUCAAUAACUUGCGGCCACGAGUAAUUCGAUGCGUCCAAGAGUAAUUGUUUGUGGCCAAGUGUAAUUCUUUGCAGCCAAGAAGCAUGUAAAACACAAGAGAAUCGUGCACAGUAACCACGCUUUCAAUAACUUGUGGCCACGAGUAAUUCUAUGCGGCCAAGAGUAAUCGCUUGUGGCCAAGAAGCAUGUAAAACACCUAAAUGAUAUUUUUGUUAUUUUUAGUGGAAAAAAAGUGAUAUUUUAGCAUUAGUCCGCAGGCAAAACAUAUAACGCGAACUCACAUCGAAUCUUGAGUAGUUUAGGGAUUUACUGGAUUGGGAACUUCUUGUUAUACUGUGAGAUACCAUGAGGUAUUUGAAUGAUGAAAGGUUAGAUUUUCUAAUGUGUCCGUGUCUGCUCAAUUGUGUUUUUUUUUUUUUUCCUGAAUUGGGUAAUCAUAAUAGGCUAUAUAGACUUGAUUUACUGGGCAUGCAUGAUCAGAUGGAUUAGAUAAUGGUAUUGGAUUACUGAUUACACAUGUCAUGAGAAGUCAUUCCCAGUAUUGCUUAUCCAUUUGUUUAGUAGUAGUCCUCGCGGACGUGGUAUUGCUAAUUCCUUGCUAUUUAGUCCUUCCUUGCUAUUUAGUCCGGCAAAUUCAUCCUAGAAGCAGAAAUUAGUCCGAUGGUGUCCCUCUUAAGAUUAGCUGAUGUUGUACUUCGAUUUCUAUGGUACUUGUGUUAGUGUCAUCUGAGUUUAAGCAUGCCUUACUUGUGCUGUCUGUUUAGGAGUUAGUUAGUGUGAAUCCAAGGAAGAAUUCUACAGAUGCCUGAAACUUAAGAUGAGUGGUGUCUCUUCGACUUCCAGUUUUAGUUGAUGAACUGAUAUGCAAAUCUAUAGCAUAUGAGAUUGCAGAAGAAAAUUAUUACAUGUAACAUAAUUACAAUAAUCUUGUUUAGUUAAUUAGUUUUCUGUUGGUUCGGCGGGGAAGAGUUUUCCCCAGCUGGAGCCAUUCCACAUAUGUCUUACCAUAGGUUAGAGUAGGCUUUAUAGUCAUUUUGGCAAGUAUUGUCAUUUUGAUUUCCUCCAGACAUCAUAUCCGUAGUUCUUUAUUACGCAGUAGGAACACCAGACUCUGUAUAUAUGGUUUAUUAACCACCCUUGUUUUUUGACUUUUUCGUUUAAGUUUAAGCACUCUAUCUUCUAUUUGACAUUGGCAUUGCUGUGUUGUUUGGAAGAUCAACAUAUUGACAUUAAUUAUGCAUUCUGUAUCUGAUCUCAGAUGCAUGCUUUGUAAUUGUUGUGGAAGACAAUUCAAGAGGACUAUCACUUAUUCCACUGACAAAAGCCAUGCGCUGUACAUUGGUUUAAAGGGAGACCGCGUACCAUUUGCAAGCUGGUUAUACUCGGCAAAAAGGUGUUGGCUGAAAUGGUUUGACAGAAUCAAGAAUUCUGCUUCUCGAUGAAGUGUCUGCUCUCAAAAUUUCUUUGUCGUCAAGGUCAUUAUAGGUGGUAGGGUGUUAAAUGAGUCAAGGUCAUCAUAGGCAAGGCUGUUAAAUGAGCCGAGUAUUUAUCUUCAGACUUGUCUAGGGCUUUGAAGGGAUUCUCAUUUUUUUUAGCAGUAGGUGAAAAUCUCCCAUUAAGAUGAGGAAGUACCAACAGCCUGAAAACAGUUUUUUAUUGUAAGUUUGAAGAUCUCUUAAUUACUCUUA